AAUGAUGAGGAGCUUGCUCCUCUGAUUUAGCGGCGGACGGGUGAGUAACACGUGGGUAAUCUGCCUGUAAGACGGGGAUAACUCCGGGAAACCGGGGCUAAUACCGGAUAAUAAGAGAAGAAGCAUUUCUUCUUUUUGAAAGUCGGUUUCGGCUGACACUUACAGAUGAGCCCGCGGCGCAUUAGCUAGUUGGUGAGGUAACGGCUCACCAAGGCGACGAUGCGUAGCCGACCUGAGAGGGUGAUCGGCCACACUGGGACUGAGACACGGCCCAGACUCCUACGGGAGGCAGCAGUAGGGAAUCUUCGGCAAUGGGCGAAAGCCUGACCGAGCAACGCCGCGUGAGCGAUGAAGGCCUUCGGGUCGUAAAGCUCUGUUGUUAGAGAAGAACAAGUACGAGAGUAACUGCUCGUACCUUGACGGUACCUAACCAGAAAGCCACGGCUAACUACGUGCCAGCAGCCGCGGUAAUACGUAGGUGGCAAGCGUUAUCCGGAAUUAUUGGGCGUAAAGCGCGCGCAGGCGGUCUCUUAAGUCUGAUGUGAAAGCCCACGGCUCAACCGUGGAGGGUCAUUGGAAACUGGGAGACUUGAGUGCAGGAGAGAAAAGUGGAAUUCCACGUGUAGCGGUGAAAUGCGUA
RNAcentral lists this ribosomal RNA (640 nucleotides) under Fictibacillus sp. Its description in RNAcentral is "bacterial SSU rRNA". It matches the Rfam family "Bacterial small subunit ribosomal RNA", at positions 69 to 692 of the family's 1533-position model. Lineage: Bacteria; Bacillati; Bacillota; Bacilli; Caryophanales; Fictibacillaceae. The record is from RNAcentral.